RNAcentral lists this ribosomal RNA (274 nucleotides) under uncultured bacterium. Its description in RNAcentral is "partial 16S ribosomal RNA". It matches the Rfam family "Bacterial small subunit ribosomal RNA", at positions 523 to 796 of the family's 1533-position model. The record is from RNAcentral.
AUACGGAGGGUGCAAGCGAUAAUCGGAAUUACUGGGCGUAAAGCGCGCGUAGGCGGUUAUUUAAGUCAGAUGUGAAAUCCCCGGGCUCAACCUGGGAACUGCAUCUGAUACUGGUAAGCUAGAGUUUUAGAGAGGGAAGUAGAAUUUCAGGGGUAGCGGUGAAAUGCAUAGAGAUCUGAAGGAAUACCAGUGGCGAAGGCGACUUCCUGGCCAAAAACUGACGCUGAGGUGCGAAAGCGUGGGUAGCAAACGGGAUUAGAAACCCUAGUAGUCC